CAAAUUAUCUAAUUAAUUUUUUUAAAUACCUGUUUACGAGGGUUGUUGAAUUCUGAUGUCAGAAGCCAACGCCACUCGUACUCCCUGUACUGGAACUCAGCAGGGGUACCAGAACGUUCGUUCCCGUGCUUAGUCCAGUGGGUCCCCAACUCGUUCUUCCACUUCUUGUACCUACAGAUACAACAAAAUUAUUAGAAAUAUUAUUAAUAUCACAUACAAUUUUGUUUUUCAUUAACUUCCCAACGUACCUUCCCCCAUGCACAACGUCGGCCCAGCUGUCCUUCAGGUGCUCGGGAACCUCAAACCACACCUGCAUUUAACCGUUUAUUGGUUUAGUUUUUCGAGAAAUCAACAAUGUAAUACAUAAUAUUAUUUUGUAAACUCACCGACAUCGCGUUGUGGACCAUGUCCUUAACCUCCUGCGGGACCUCGCCCCAGUCUGACCACAACAUAGGGACUCUAUCCCUAAUGAGCGCUCCCACGCGGCCGGAGUACAUCCUCGACUUCCCGCCCUAUACUAUGUGGCCAUCCCCGUCAGUAUUGAUGACGAUCCUCCCCACGGUACCCACGAUCUUCUCGAGAGCCUUCCCUGUGACGGGGCCUCUCUUCUUCUUUGUCGGCUUCGCUCCGACGGUGCCUAUCACAUGAUAAACCAAAUUGAUUAUUAAAAUCGGAGACCCUUUAUUAUUAAUUAUAAGAAAAGUAAUCAUGCAUCACUGAUUACCUGAGGCGCUCACGGCGGACCCGACGGAUUCCGUCUCUGUCGCCGAUGAUGAUACCCUCGCGGAAAUAAGAGGCGUAUCAAAAGGCACGAACCGGUACGCCGCUGAUGGAGCCACUGGCGGGGGCAAUGGAUAAAUCGGCAUCCCUGAGCCAUCGACUACAGGUAAGGCCGGUAUCAUCCGCGGAAGGAACAGAUGAGGCGGCGGCAUCUGUACCUCAGAUGACCCACUAUCCGAAGAAAUAGGACUCGGAGUGGGCGCCCGGUGUAUCUCAGGCAUACGGGGUGC
RNAcentral lists this long non-coding RNA (1010 nucleotides) under Fragaria vesca (wild strawberry). Its description in RNAcentral is "long non-coding RNA (FVES_LNC005027)". The record is from RNAcentral. Lineage: Eukaryota; Viridiplantae; Streptophyta; Magnoliopsida; Rosales; Rosaceae.